UACGGGGGGGGCAAGCGUUGUUCGGAAUUACUGGGCGUAAAGGGCUCGUAGGCGGCCAACUAAGUCAGACGUGAAAUCCCUCGGCUUAACCGGGGAACUGCGUCUGAUACUGGAUGGCUUGAGUUCGGGAGAGGGAUGCGGAAUUCCAGGUGUAGCGGUGAAAUGCGUAGAUAUCUGGAGGAACACCGGUGGCGAAGGCGGCAUCCUGGACCGACACUGACACUGAGGAGCGAAAGCCAGGGGAGCAAACGGG
Molecule: ribosomal RNA, 253 nt
Filed under: uncultured bacterium
Lineage: Bacteria
Description: partial 16S ribosomal RNA
Rfam family: Bacterial small subunit ribosomal RNA
Source: RNAcentral